GAUGAACGCUGGCGGCGUGCCUAAUACAUGCAAGUCGAGCGAACAGACGAGGAGCUUGCUCCUCUGACGUUAGCGGCGGACGGGUGAGUAACACGUGGAUAACCUACCUAUAAGACUGGGAUAACUUCGGGAAACCGGAGCUAAUACCGGAUAAUAUAUUGAACCGCAUGGUUCAAUAGUGAAAGACGGUUUUGCUGUCACUUAUAGAUGGAUCCGCGCCGCAUUAGCUAGUUGGUAAGGUAACGGCUUACCAAGGCAACGAUGCGUAGCCGACCUGAGAGGGUGAUCGGCCACACUGGAACUGAGACACGGUCCAGACUCCUACGGGAGGCAGCAGUAGGGAAUCUUCCGCAAUGGGCGAAAGCCUGACGGAGCAACGCCGCGUGAAUGAUGAAGGUCUUCGGAUCGUAAAACUCUGUUAUUAGGGAAGAACUAAUGUGUAAGUAACUAUGCACGUCUUGACGGUACCUAAUCAGAAAGCCACGGCUAACUACGUG
This 497-nucleotide ribosomal RNA is filed under the name uncultured bacterium. RNAcentral describes it as "partial 16S ribosomal RNA". It matches the Rfam family "Bacterial small subunit ribosomal RNA", at positions 28 to 507 of the family's 1533-position model. The record is from RNAcentral.